AACGAACGCUGGCGGCAUGCCUAACACAUGCAAGUCGAACGAGACCUUCGGGUCUAGUGGCGCACGGGUGCGUAAAGCGUGGGAACCUGCCCUUAGGUUCGGAAUAACUCCCCGAAAGGGGUGCUAAUACCGGAUAAUGUCUUCGGACCAAAGAUUUAUCGCCUUUGGAUGGGCCCGCGUUGGAUUAGCUAGUUGGUAGGGUAAAAGCCUACCAAGGCGACGAUCCAUAGCUGGUCUGAGAGGAUGAUCAGCCACACUGGGACUGAGACACGGCCCAGACUCCUACGGGAGGCAGCAGUGGGGAAUAUUGGACAAUGGGCGAAAGCCUGAUCCAGCAAUGCCGCGUGAGUGAUGAAGGCCUUAGGGUUGUAAAGCUCUUUUACCCGGGAUGAUAAUGACAGUACCGGGAGAAUAAGCUCCGGCUAACUCCGUG
Molecule: ribosomal RNA, 433 nt
Filed under: uncultured bacterium
Lineage: Bacteria
Description: partial 16S ribosomal RNA
Rfam family: Bacterial small subunit ribosomal RNA
Source: RNAcentral